Molecule: long non-coding RNA, 448 nt
Filed under: Oncorhynchus kisutch (coho salmon)
Lineage: Eukaryota; Metazoa; Chordata; Actinopteri; Salmoniformes; Salmonidae
Description: lncRNA (ENSOKIG00005001033.1)
Source: RNAcentral
UGGAUCUCACAUUCAGAAUGUAUAUUUCAUGUUUGCAUGUUGAAAUGUAUUUUACUUCUAUAGGGAAUUUCUGCAAUUCCACCAUCAUUGGUCCUUUUUCCUUCCUAAGAACACCGGUUGGCUGGUCUGCUUAUUCAGAAGAGUUGUGUGAUGAGAAGACAACCAGUGAAGCCUCAGCAAGAUGUUUGAAUGACACCGGCUCUCCAAUGUUUGGUCCCCCUCACAUUCUGCAGUGUGAAGUAACCCUCAGUGACAUUCAAGGAAAUAUCUCUAGCAGUUCAGGUGAUUUACUACAGUUAGCCUUCAGUACUCAGAUCCUGACCAACCAUAAACAUCAGCUGUCAGCUGACAACAUCACCACAGCAGCUCAGAUCGCUAACACACUGCUUAAGUCUGCAAAUAUCACAGAGGUAUAAGAUGUUUUGAAAUCAAGUCAUGAACUAUGCCA